Molecule: ribosomal RNA, 1372 nt
Filed under: uncultured bacterium
Lineage: Bacteria
Description: bacterial SSU rRNA
Rfam family: Bacterial small subunit ribosomal RNA
Source: RNAcentral
GAUGAACGCUGGCGGCGUGCCUAAUACAUGCAAGUCGAGCGAACGGACGAGAAGCUUGCUUCUCUGAUGUUAGCGGCGGACGGGUGAGUAACACGUGGAUAACCUACCUAUAAGACUGGGAUAACUUCGGGAAACCGGAGCUAAUACCGGAUAAUAUUUUGAACCGCAUGGUUCAAAAGUGAAAGACGGUCUUGCUGUCACUUAUAGAUGGAUCCGCGCUGCAUUAGCUAGUUGGUAAGGUAACGGCUUACCAAGGCAACGAUGCAUAGCCGACCUGAGAGGGUGAUCGGCCACACUGGAACUGAGACACGGUCCAGACUCCUACGGGAGGCAGCAGUAGGGAAUCUUCCGCAAUGGGCGAAAGCCUGACGGAGCAACGCCGCGUGAGUGAUGAAGGUCUUCGGAUCGUAAAGCUCUGUUAUUAGGGAAGAACAUAUGUGUAAGUAACUGUGCACAUCUUGACGGUACCUAAUCAGAAAGCCACGGCUAACUACGUGCCAGCAGCCGCGGUAAUACGUAGGUGGCAAGCGUUAUCCGGAAUUAUUGGGCGUAAAGCGCGCGUAGGCGGUUUUUUAAGUCUGAUGUGAAAGCCCACGGCUCAACCGUGGAGGGUCAUUGGAAACUGGAAAACUUGAGUGCAGAAGAGGAAAGUGGAAUUCCACGUGUAGCGGUGAAAUGCGCAGAGAUAUGGAGGAACACCAGUGGCGAAGGCGACUUUCUGGUCUGUAACUGACGCUGAUGUGCGAAAGCGUGGGGAUCAAACAGGAUUAGAUACCCUGGUAGUCCACGCCGUAAACGAUGAGUGCUAAGUGUUAGGGGGUUUCCGCCCCUUAGUGCUGCAGCUAACGCAUUAAGCACUCCGCCUGGGGAGUACGACCGCAAGGUUGAAACUCAAAGGAAUUGACGGGGACCCGCACAAGCGGUGGAGCAUGUGGUUUAAUUCGAAGCAACGCGAAGAACCUUACCAAAUCUUGACAUCCUUUGACAACUCUAGAGAUAGAGCUUUCCCCUUCGGGGGACAAAGUGACAGGUGGUGCAUGGUUGUCGUCAGCUCGUGUCGUGAGAUGUUGGGUUAAGUCCCGCAACGAGCGCAACCCUUAAGCUUAGUUGCCAUCAUUAAGUUGGGCACUCUAAGUUGACUGCCGGUGACAAACCGGAGGAAGGUGGGGAUGACGUCAAAUCAUCAUGCCCCUUAUGAUUUGGGCUACACACGUGCUACAAUGGACAAUACAAAGGGCAGCGAAACCGCGAGGUCAAGCAAAUCCCAUAAAGUUGUUCUCAGUUCGGAUUGUAGUCUGCAACCCGACUACAUGAAGCUGGAAUCGCUAGUAAUCGUAGAUCAGCAUGCUACGGUGAAUACGUUCCCGGGUCU